GACGAACGCUGGCGGCGUGCUUAACACAUGCAAGUCGAACGGAAAGGCCCUGCUUUUGUGGGGUGCUCGAGUGGCGAACGGGUGAGUAACACGUGAGUAACCUGCCCUUGACUUUGGGAUAACUUCAGGAAACUGGGGCUAAUACCGGAUAGGAGCUCCUGCUGCAUGGUGGGGGUUGGAAAGUUUCGGCGGUUGGGGAUGGACUCGCGGCUUAUCAGCUCGUUGGUGGGGUAGUGGCUUACCAAGGCUUUGACGGGUAGCCGGCCUGAGAGGGUGACCGGCCACAUUGGGACUGAGAUACGGCCCAGACUCCUACAGGAGGCAGCAGUGGGGAAUAUUGCACAAUGGGCGGAAGCCUGAUGCAGCAACGCCGCGUGCGGGAUGACGGCCUUCGGGUUGUAAACCGCUUUCGCCUGUGACGAAGCGUGAGUGACGGUAAUGGGUAAAGAAGCACCGGCUAACUACGUG
Molecule: ribosomal RNA, 468 nt
Filed under: uncultured bacterium
Lineage: Bacteria
Description: partial 16S ribosomal RNA
Rfam family: Bacterial small subunit ribosomal RNA
Source: RNAcentral